RNAcentral lists this ribosomal RNA (468 nucleotides) under uncultured bacterium. Its description in RNAcentral is "partial 16S ribosomal RNA". It matches the Rfam family "Bacterial small subunit ribosomal RNA", at positions 28 to 507 of the family's 1533-position model. The record is from RNAcentral.
GACGAACGCUGGCGGCGUGCUUAACACAUGCAAGUCGAACGGAAAGGCCCUGCUUUUGUGGGGUGCUCGAGUGGCGAACGGGUGAGUAACACGUGAGUAACCUGCCCUUGACUUUGGGAUAACUUCAGGAAACUGGGGCUAAUACCGGAUAGGAGCUCCUGCUGCAUGGUGGGGGUUGGAAAGUUUCGGCGGUUGGGGAUGGACUCGCGGCUUAUCAGCUUGUUGGUGGGGUAGUGGCUUACCAAGGCUUUGACGGGUAGCCGGCCUGAGAGGGUGACCGGCGACAUUGGGACUGAGAUACGGCCCAGACUCCUACGGGGGGCAGCAGUGGGGAGUAUUGCACAAUGGGGGGAAGCCUGAGACAGCGACGCCGCGUGCGGGAUGACGGCCUUCGGGUUGUAAACCGCUUUCGCCUGUGACGAAGCGUGAGUGACGGUAAUGGGUAAAGAAGCACCGGCUAACUACGUG